GGCGUGGUGGCGGAGUGGUUAUCGCGCAAGACUAGAAAUCUUGUUCCUUCGGGAGCGCAGGUUCGAAUCCUGCCCACGUCG
Stagonospora sp. is the source of this 81-nucleotide transfer RNA. It matches the Rfam family "tRNA". From Rfam's summary of the family: Transfer RNA (tRNA) molecules are approximately 80 nucleotides in length. NCBI's taxonomy places the organism in Eukaryota, Fungi, Ascomycota, Dothideomycetes, Pleosporales, Massarinaceae. The record is from Rfam.